Molecule: non-coding RNA, 678 nt
Organism: Phalacrocorax carbo (great cormorant)
Lineage: Eukaryota; Metazoa; Chordata; Aves; Suliformes; Phalacrocoracidae
Source: RefSeq, a predicted model, not a curated record
AGGUGAGCGGGGUCGAGUGGCGGGGCCGGGGGCGCGGCGGGCCGGUGAUGAUCAUAUCUCUUAUUUCUUUCUGACACCUCGUCUGAGGGCGGCGGGCGGCCGCGGCCCUUGCUGAGGAUGCACGGCUGAGGCCCGAGGGAGCCGCGGCGGGGCCGGCUGGGCGGCGCGGCCUGAUCUUACCGCCAUACCUUCUCUCCUCAGGGGCCGGCGGGAACCGGGCGGCGGCGGCCUGAGGGGCAGCGAGGCGAGGCGGGAGCCCGGCGGCAUCCUCCCCACUCUGGCAGGGUUAGCCUCCGGGUUUCGGCCAGGAAUGAAACAAAAGCUGUAAACGAGAGCCAGCAAAAAUGAGAAGUUGCGUGUAAUGCCGAGUCCUCUGGCUUGUCUGAAUGCGCUGAACCAUUCUUCAUCGCUUGGUGGCAGUAAAGGCCCGUGGAAGAAGAUGACAACAGUCUGAGGGAAGAGCUUUAGGGUGAGGUCAGUGUGCAGGCACUGGGAGACCAGUACAGAGGGAACUUGUGACUGGGAGAGGUGGGGGCUGAGUCUGGCUUAGAGUUUAGGUGUAACACCCAAAACGCAGCUGUGAUGUCUGCUGUAGUAGAGUUAGUUCCCAACAGGCAUGUUUAAAGUACUCCAGAGUGUAGCAUGUACAUCUUUAAAUAAAUUAGUUUUUUAAUUGGU